CUCGCAUGAAGUCGGAAUUGCUAGUAAUCGCGGAUCAGCAUGCCGCGGUGAAUACGUUCUCGGGCCUUGUACACACCGCCCGUCACACCAUGGGAGUCGGUAACACCCGAAGUCUGUAGCCUGACGCAAGAGGGCGCAGCCGAAGGUGGGAUUGAUGACUGGGGGUGAAGUCGUAACAAGGUAGC
Molecule: ribosomal RNA, 185 nt
Filed under: uncultured bacterium
Lineage: Bacteria
Description: partial 16S ribosomal RNA
Rfam family: Bacterial small subunit ribosomal RNA
Source: RNAcentral